Molecule: transfer RNA, 73 nt
Filed under: Phycisphaerae bacterium
Lineage: Bacteria; Pseudomonadati; Planctomycetota; Phycisphaerae
Description: tRNA-Trp
Rfam family: tRNA
About the family: Transfer RNA (tRNA) molecules are approximately 80 nucleotides in length. Their secondary structure includes four short double-helical elements and three loops (D, anti-codon, and T loops).
Source: RNAcentral
ACGACAGUAGCUCAAUUGGCAGAGCACCGGUCUCCAAAACCGGGGGUUGCAGGUUCGACUCCUGCCUGUCGUG